ACGGGCCGCACAAGCGGUGGAGCAUGUGGUUUAAUUCGACGCAACGCGAAGAACCUUUACCAGGGAUUGACAUCCCCUGACCGGAUAUGAAAGUAUCCUUUAUCCUUCGGGAUACAGGGAGACAGGUGGUGCAUGGUUGUCGUCAGCUCGUGUCGUGAGAUGUUGGGUUAAGUCCCGCAACGAGCGCAACCCCUACGUUUAGUUGCUAACAGGUAGCGCUGAGCACUCUGAAUGGACUGCCGUUGACAAAACGGAGGAAGGUGGGGAUGACGUCAAAUCAUCAUGCCCCUUAUACCCUGGGCUACACACGUGCUACAAUGGUCCGUACAGAGGGCAGCGACACGGUGACGUGAAGCGAAUCCCUUAAAGCGGAUCUCAGUUCGGAUUGCAGGCUGCAACUCGCCUGCAUGAAGUCGGAAUCGCUAGUAAUCGCAGGUCAGCAUACUGCGGUGAAUACGUUCCCGGGCCUU
This 470-nucleotide ribosomal RNA is filed under the name uncultured Desulfurispora sp. Its description in RNAcentral is "bacterial SSU rRNA". It matches the Rfam family "Bacterial small subunit ribosomal RNA", at positions 918 to 1380 of the family's 1533-position model. The record is from RNAcentral. Lineage: Bacteria; Bacillati; Bacillota; Clostridia; Eubacteriales; Desulfurisporaceae.